AACGCGCAAUGCAACAUCAACAACAACAAUGAGUAUAAACAGAAAAGAAUUGUUCACAAUGAAAUCUGUUCACAUAUAUUUAUGUUGUUUUUAUUUAUGCACUCUUACUUUCAUUUUCUGCAUCGAGAAUUUAUUAUUCACAUUAUUCUUA
RNAcentral lists this non-coding RNA (151 nucleotides) under Fragilariopsis kerguelensis. Lineage: Eukaryota; Bacillariophyta; Bacillariophyceae; Bacillariales; Bacillariaceae. The record is from RNAcentral.